GGAUUUUAAAUGUGGACAGGAAUUUAAAUCCUUGUUGGGCACAUAGCAGCUAUGGUACCAUGGGCAUGAUACCUAACCUCUGUAAGGUACAAUGGGGAUAAUUAUAUUCCCCUCUUAGGGAGGUCAUGAAAAUGAGUUGAGAUAAAACAUAUGAAAGCACCCAGCACUGGCAUGCUCAGUCCAUAUUAGUUUCUCAUUCUCUUCAUUAUUUUCAUUAUCAUCAUUGUCACAUUCUCACCUUUUUUCAUCAUUGUCAGUAGCAGUCGCAUCAACCCAGUGUCCUGACUUUCAAGACAACCAUGAAAACGCCCCAACUGCUGCUAAAUUACCAGCAACAAGGAUCUGGAAUUUUCUUGACAAGAGCAGUGCCUAUCCUGAGGCAAUCGUAUUUCUCCUUGACUUCUCUCCAGUAUCAGCUUGUUGCUUGACACCACUGCACAGCCAACUGUAUAAUGUGGACAUUCUUACAAAAAAGAAAGAACACCGAAAUUGACCUUACCCUGACAAUAUGAUGGCUGAAGGAUUUAUGAUCACUUGUAACAUUUGAAAUUGAGGCAGAAUCUCAAGAAUACGACUCUGGUGAAAGGUCCUAUUUAUGCUUUUGAUGUCUUUCAGUUGGACAUUUACCAUAUGCCUAUUGGUAGGUUUUUUUACACCAGGACAGUGAAGGUGAUACAGGAAUAAAUAAAACACUAUCCCUAUCCUUUAAUAUCAUUUAUUUAUGGGGUCAAUCAUAGCUUUACAUUUUUCAAAAUCUUUGAUAAAUGUCAGAAUUAUGUUUUUUAACAUUUUUACAGAAUUAUUACUAUAUAUGAUAGAGGAUGGAAGGCAAGGUAGUAUGAAAUGGAAGAUAUUUUGAAUUAAGAUAUUUGGACCUGGGUUCAUAUUUUUGCUUUGGUCUUUAUUAACUGAGUGACCUUGGGAAAGUUCUUCUACUAAAAAAGAAUAAAGAUACUAAUUACUUCAUGAAAUUGCUGUGAAAAGCACAUAACAAGUAUAUCCACACUCAACAGUGUAUGCUCAGAAAUGAAGCUCCCUUUUCUCUUACCUGCAGAUAAAGUCUUACAGUAAUACAGUGGGGGUAAAGGUUUAAAUUGGGGGAUUCAAGAAGGUUAUAGAAAGAGGUAGCAUUUUCAUAGGGGAAGGAUAGAGUCCAAGAAAUCAGAUCCAUUUUCUACAAAAAGAAAUAGGAAGACAGAUAAUUCAAGAAGAAAAGUUUACAUGAUUGAAGACCUGAAGUUAGAAAUAGUGAUGUGUCUCAAUAGGAAGUUAGGAAUUGGGGUGGACACAGUUGUUGGAAGAAAGAUGGUUUCAGCAAAGGCCCGAGAGGUGACAAUUUCAAGGGUUUGUGAAGAUGUAUGAAAGAAACAUUAUAAAGUAGUUAGGAUAUAAGAAAUAGAGAGGAGGGAAUGAAUUAGCAUUUAUUGAGUGUCUUGCAUGUUCCAAGCACUGUACUACUUGCCUUAUAAACCUUUUUUCAAUAAACGCCUACAACAAUCCUGAGAUGUGGAUAUUAUUAGUUCCUCAAUGGACCCGGAGAGUUUCAAUUAUGUGCUUAAGAUCAUAGAGUUAGUAAAGGACAGAGACAGAAUUCAAAUGUAAGCCCAUGUUACUCCACAUCCUAUGCAUUCACUAAGCCUCUCAGGAAAACCAGUUUAUUGGACCUUGUAAUCAUUUAAGAAUGAGAUGAUAGAAGACUAUUUCAGUCUUCUAUCUACCCUAUUUCAGGGUAGUAGCCAAAGGAAAAAAAAAAAAAGAGAUGAAGGGAUAAGUGGAUGGAUGGACAAAUGAAUGGAGAGAUAGAUGAAUAGAUGAGCGAAUAAACAAACACGAAGAUGGAUAACAAGAUGGAUAUAUGGAAAGUCAAUGAAUGAGUGGAUGAUUGCAAGAGGUGUGGAGGUAAGCUCAAAACAUGAAAGAACUGGAAGAAGGAGGAAUUAAAUAUAACAUCUGGUGCUGGAACAUCUAGUAAAAUCUGACGUUAAUGAAGAAAAACACAAGAAAGAACAAGUUGCUAAAAAUGGGGGAAAGAAGUCAGUUCUGUGACACAGAAUAAAAAAUUUUUAUGGGAAUUAUCUGCUAAAACAUUGUUAAAUGUGAAUAUGCUUGAGCAUUGAAUGAUUUGCCUAGACAGAGCAGCCUCUUUUUCCAAGAGGUAGGUUUUGCUGCCGGGUAUGGACAAACAAACUGGCUGGACUUUCAUGGAAAAAUUUGAGCCAAGAUGGUCACAGAAGUCACCAUCCUGCUCACAUCUGGAUUUUAAUGGAAGUAGUCAAUUAGUGAAAAAAAUAAAAAAAGGGACAUAAAUUAUUCAAAUGCUUGGCAAGCAAAAGAACAGGUUGUUUCUCCUUAUAAACUCUGUGUUAGAGUCAUGUGACAACAGAUCACCCAUAAAGAAUGCUUUCUGAGGAUUCUAGGGGUGUCUUUCAGUUGGUAAAAAUGCUCAUUCAUACUUGAGGUCCAGUUCCAAUGUAAGCUCCUGUCUGAAACCUUCCUCAUCUAUAUGGACUUUACUGGGUCAACUUAGUUCAAGUAGACUUAUGCCUCCUAGAAUUUCCUUUCUUACAUUGUUUCAAGUUAGCAUGGGUCUUAGGAGACAUUUUGCAUGAGUUUUGGAAGGAUGAAUUAAAGCAGAAGCCGUAGUUAGUUAACAUUCAGAGGGUCAAUGCAGGAACACCAGGUGCUAUUGCAAACCAUGUCCAUUGCUACUUAUCUGCUUGCAAACCUUGUUGGUCUGGGCCAACAGCCAGACUAGCAGCAAUUCCACCUCCCACUGGAUCCUUCUUCAGUUUUUUUUAACUCCUGGCUUGCAUGUGAAUUUAGUGCGUGAAGAGACACCACCUCUUCAGGACUCAAACAUUACUAAAGUUGGAGGCUGGAAGACAAUGAGAAACUGAGGCAGAUUCUAGGCUGUUCUCCAUCUUUGCAGGCUCCAGUUCAUCCUUGCUCUCUCACACUUCAUAUCAACUUCCUUGCCCAACUCUCUGCCCUACUAACUUCAGGCUCCAGAACUAGUAGUGGCAAAGAUGGUCAGUAGUCUGCAAACUAUGACCCGCAGAGCAAAUCCAAACCACUGCCUGUUUUUGUAAAUGAAAUUUUGUUGGCACAUAGCCAGAUCCAUGUGUUUAUUAAUUGCUUGGGGCUGCUUCUGUGCUUCAGAGAUCGUAUGUCUCCCAAAACCUAAAAUAUGUAUUGUCUGCUCCUUUAAAGAAAAGGUUUGCCAAAUCUGAGCAAAGAUAGUAACCAUAUACAGGCUGUUAAACCAACUUCCACAAUCAUGUAAGGUCAAAUCCC
Molecule: long non-coding RNA, 3294 nt
Organism: Macaca mulatta (Rhesus monkey)
Lineage: Eukaryota; Metazoa; Chordata; Mammalia; Primates; Cercopithecidae
Source: Ensembl